UUCUCUCAAGUUGCCAAACAAG
Molecule: microRNA, 22 nt
Filed under: Oryza sativa (Asian cultivated rice)
Lineage: Eukaryota; Viridiplantae; Streptophyta; Magnoliopsida; Poales; Poaceae
Description: osa-miR2100-5p
Source: miRBase by way of RNAcentral